RNAcentral lists this ribosomal RNA (442 nucleotides) under uncultured bacterium. RNAcentral describes it as "bacterial SSU rRNA". It matches the Rfam family "Bacterial small subunit ribosomal RNA", at positions 338 to 795 of the family's 1533-position model. The record is from RNAcentral.
CCUANGGGAGGCUGCAGUGGGGAAUAUUGCGCAAUGGGCGAAAGCCUGACGCAGCGACGCCGCGUGAGGGAUGAAGGCCUUCGGGUUGUAAACCUCUGUCGGGAGGGACGAAAUCUUGACGGUACCUCCAAAGGAAGCACCGGCUAACUCUGUGCCAGCAGCCGCGGUAAUACAGAGGGUGCAAGCGUUGUCCAGAAUCACUGGGCGUAAAGGGCGCGUAGGUGGCCUGAUAAGUCGGGGGUGAAACGCUGCGGCUUAACCGCAGCACUGCCUUCGAGACUGUCCGGCUUGAGCACGGUAGAGGCUGGUGGAAUUCCCGGUGUAGCGGUGGAAUGCGUAGAGAUCGGGAAGAACAUCGGUGGCGAAGGCGGCCAGCUGGACCGUUGCUGACACUGAGGCGCGACAGCGUGGGGAGCAAACAGGAUUAGAUACCCCGNUANUC